UACGUAGGGUGCAAGCGUUGUCCGGAAUUAUUGGGCGUAAAGAGCGUGUAGGCGGCCAGAUAAGUCCGCUGUGAAAUCUCGAGGCUCAACUUCGAGCUGUCGGUGGAAACUAUCUGGCUAGAGUCCGGAAGAGGAGAAUGGAAUUCCUGGUGUAGCGGUGAAAUGCGCAGAUAUCAGGAAGAACACCCGUGGCGAAGGCGGUUCUCUGGGACGGUACUGACGCUGAGACGCGAAAGCGUGGGGAGCGAACAGG
RNAcentral lists this ribosomal RNA (253 nucleotides) under uncultured bacterium. Its description in RNAcentral is "partial 16S ribosomal RNA". It matches the Rfam family "Bacterial small subunit ribosomal RNA", at positions 524 to 776 of the family's 1533-position model. The record is from RNAcentral.